Molecule: long non-coding RNA, 261 nt
Filed under: Lathyrus oleraceus (garden pea)
Lineage: Eukaryota; Viridiplantae; Streptophyta; Magnoliopsida; Fabales; Fabaceae
Description: Pisum sativum (pea) long non-coding RNA (PSAT_LNC035677)
Source: RNAcentral
UUUCAUUUUCAUUUUUUUUCUAUUUUAUUUUUUCUUCUUUUCUUUUAAAAAAAAACUGACUCGGCAAAAAUAAAAUAACAAAACCAAGCAGCGCUUCGUUUAACGUCGCAUGGCUCGACGGGACACCUCAUACUCAGAUGAGUUUAACAGUUUCAAUUGGUCCCCCUUCACCGGGAUUGUAUGGUUUCAACCUCUGACCAUUUGUCAUACGGUGAACUGACUUGGGGUGUUUUGCUUUUUAUCGCAAUGUCGCGGAUAGCA